RNAcentral lists this transfer RNA (72 nucleotides) under Botryobasidium botryosum FD-172 SS1. RNAcentral's name for it is "tRNA-Gln (TTG) (tRNA-Gln-TTG-3-1)". It matches the Rfam family "tRNA". Rfam says of the family: Transfer RNA (tRNA) molecules are approximately 80 nucleotides in length. Their secondary structure includes four short double-helical elements and three loops (D, anti-codon, and T loops). Lineage: Eukaryota; Fungi; Basidiomycota; Agaricomycetes; Cantharellales; Botryobasidiaceae. The record is from RNAcentral.
GGUCUUAUAGUCUAGUGGUUAGGACAUGGGAUUUUGAUUCCCAGAGCCCCGGUUCGAACCCGGGUAAGACCU